AAGCGAGCCCAGAUGGCUCGGGUCAUCCUCCGAUAGUCAAGGUUCUGACCUCGGCCAGACUCCUAGUCAUCGAUUAGUCAAGAGGGCCAGUUGGCCUGGCGGUCUUCUCUGCAGAGCCACGUCAGAUAGCACCCACAGUGGAGCUAACCCACAGAAUUUCUAUUAGUGACCCCUGCUUUUCUUCAGUGCACAGCAGAGGCAAAAGACCAUCAACACUGAAAAGCACAAGAGACAAAUCCAGUGACUCAGCAGAGGUUAAGCCUGUCGCAAGCAGGCCCUGGCCCAAAAGAUUUAGGGGUGGGUCAAGAACAUCCGAAAUGGCCUGAUGAACCUGUGUUGCUGCAUUCCGUCCAGAAAAAAACCUCCCCUGGGGCACAACAGAGUUGUUCCCCAGAAAUGAAGAACAUGGAAGGAAUCCAGAGAGCAAGCAUCCAACACUGCCCCAGAAGAUCACUAGAGGAUGCCGGAUGCUGCAUCUCUGCAGUCCCAGUAUUGAAGUGGACCCACGUGUGGACACGGACCUGCAGAAGGGAGCGCUGUGAGAGCUGUCACCUUCCAGGUCAGCUGUGGAAGGAUGAAAGCAAAUGAAGAGAUGCCAGGUGGCAAGAGAGCACCUCAAAGGCAUCACUCUUCCUGGUGGAGGUUGAAAACCAGUCCAAAGCUGGUAAAGACCAGAGCCCUUUUGCCGACCAGGGUCACAUCACACACCUCCUCUUGGCACAAGUUCUCGCCUCACUCUUAGUGGAGAAUAUACGUCUUCUCAAUGUGUUUAUCCGACUCUGAGAAUAAAAUAGCUGUUUGUGAAAGAUGACCUCGUAGAUUUUUCUGCAUCUUCUUCACAUAGGGAAAUUGGCCCUGUGGCAUUCCAAGGCCCCAGGAAGCACUGGGUAAUAGGGCCCACCUCAGGGC
This 909-nucleotide long non-coding RNA is filed under the name Rattus norvegicus (Norway rat). RNAcentral's name for it is "long non-coding RNA NONRATT031499". The record is from RNAcentral. Lineage: Eukaryota; Metazoa; Chordata; Mammalia; Rodentia; Muridae.